RNAcentral lists this long non-coding RNA (276 nucleotides) under Pan troglodytes (chimpanzee). RNAcentral's name for it is "long non-coding RNA NONPTRT018391". The record is from RNAcentral. Lineage: Eukaryota; Metazoa; Chordata; Mammalia; Primates; Hominidae.
AGGGCAGCCGAUGGAGAGCAGAUCUGAGCACCCAGCCACCUUCACGCCACCGCCCAGCUGCCCAGGAGCCCAGCCAGGACUGGCCAUACUGCCACCGCACACGUGCACACACGCCAACAGGCACCUGCCAUGCUGGCAUCUCUAUAAGGGCUCCAGUCCAGAGACCCUGGGCCAUUGAACUUGCUCCUCAGGCAGAGGCUGAGUCCGCACAUCACCUCCAGGCCCUCAGAACACCUGCCCCGGCCCCACCAUGCUCAUGGCGUCCACCACUUCCGG